UGAACGCUGGCGGCGUGCCUAACACAUGCAAGUCGAACGGGACUAUUCAGAUCUUUCGGAGUGAUGAUCUAGUUAGUGGCGGACGGGUGAGUAACGCGUGGACAACCUGCCUCUCACUGGGGGAUAGCAGCUGGAAACGGCUGGUAAUACCGCAUGCGUUCAAUGUGCCGCAUGACACAUUGAAGAAAGAUUUAUCGGUGAGAGAUGGGUCCGCGUCUGAUUAGCCAGUUGGCGGGGUAACGGCCCACCAAAGCGACGAUCAGUAGCCGGCCUGAGAGGGCGGACGGCCACAUUGGGACUGAGACACGGCCCAGACUCCUACGGGAGGCAGCAGUGGGGGAUAUUGCACAAUGGGCGCAAGCCUGAUGCAGCGAACCGCCGCGUGAGUGAAGAAGUAUUUCGGUAUGUAAAGCUCUAUCAGCAGGGAAGAAAGGCCCGCAAGGGAGAUGACGGUACCUGACUAAGAAGCCCCGGCUAACUACGUGCCAGCCGCCGC
Molecule: ribosomal RNA, 496 nt
Filed under: uncultured bacterium
Lineage: Bacteria
Description: bacterial SSU rRNA
Rfam family: Bacterial small subunit ribosomal RNA
Source: RNAcentral